Molecule: unclassified non-coding RNA, 307 nt
Filed under: uncultured bacterium
Lineage: Bacteria
Description: 16S-23S intergenic spacer
Source: RNAcentral
UCUAUGGAGAUUUGAAUCAUUGAAAUACAUGGUUCCAAUCCAAGGUCGACACGUCUGGUUGUUCAUCUACUUACAUUGCUUAGUUUUGAGGGAAUACAUCCUUGUUGCUACAAGAAAUUGUAGUGAUGGGAAAUGUAGUACCUUAUAUGUUCUUUGAAAACUGCACAGAAGAAAGCAAAGUAAUAAUUCUAAUAGCAAUAUUAGGGUGAUUACCGAGCAUGUUAGGAUUUUUUUAAAAACGUAUGAUCCUUCGGGAUUGUACACCACUAAUGAUUGUUCAUUUAUGAGCAGUCAAUUAGCAAGACAU